GAUCCUGGCUCAGAGCGAACGCUGGCGGCAGGUCUAACACAUGCAAGUCGAACGGACCCUUCGGGGGUUAGUGGCGGACGGGUGAGUAACACGUGGGAACGUGCCUUUAGGUUCGGAAUAGCUCCUGGAAACGGGUGGUAAUGCCGAAUGUGCCCUUCGGGGGAAAGAUUUAUCGCCUUUAGAGCGGCCCGCGUCUGAUUAGCUAGUUGGUGAGGUAACGGCUCACCAAGGCGACGAUCAGUAGCUGGU
RNAcentral lists this ribosomal RNA (249 nucleotides) under uncultured bacterium. RNAcentral describes it as "partial 16S ribosomal RNA". It matches the Rfam family "Bacterial small subunit ribosomal RNA", at positions 15 to 291 of the family's 1533-position model. The record is from RNAcentral.